GAUGAACGCUGGCGGCGUGCCUAAUACAUGCAAGUCGAGCGAACGGACGAGAAGCUUGCUCCUCUGAUGUUAUCGGCGGACGGGUGAGUAACACGUGGACAACCUACCUCUAAGACUGGGAUAACUUCGGGAAACCGGAGCUAAUACCGGAUAAUAUUUUGAACCGCAUUGUUCAAAAGUGAAAGACGGUCUUUCUUUCACUUAUAGAUUGAUCCGCGCUGCAUUAGCUAGUUGGUAAGGUAACUGCUUACCAAGGCAACGAUGCAUAGCCGACCUGAGAGGGUGAUCGGACAGACUGGAACUGAGACACGGUACAGACUCCUACAGGAGGCAGCAGUAGAGAAUCUUACGCGAUGGGCGAAAGGCGGACGGAGCAACGCCGCGUGAAUGAUGAAGGACUUAGGAUGGUAGAACUAUGAUAGUAGGGAAGAAGAAAAGUGUAAGUAACUGUGAACAUCUUGACGGUACCUAAACAGAAAGCCACGGCUAACUACGUG
Molecule: ribosomal RNA, 497 nt
Filed under: uncultured bacterium
Lineage: Bacteria
Description: partial 16S ribosomal RNA
Rfam family: Bacterial small subunit ribosomal RNA
Source: RNAcentral